CGCGUAGGCGGGACAGCAAGUCAGAUGUGAAAUACCGAAGCUUAACUUUGGGGGUGCAUCUGAAACUGUUGUUCUUGAGUGUCGGAGAGGAAAGCGGAAUUCCCCGUGUAACGGUGAAAUGCGUAGAUAUGGGGAGGAACACCGGUGGCGAAGGCGGCUUUCUGGACGAUAACUGACGCUGAGGCGCGAAAGCGUGGGUAGCAAACAGGAUUAGAUACCCUGGUAGUCCACGCUGUAAACGAUGGAUACUAGGUGUGGGAGGUAUCGACCCCUUCCGUGCCGGAGUUAACACAAUAAGUAUCCCACCUGGGGAGUACGGCCGCAAGGCUGAA
Molecule: ribosomal RNA, 332 nt
Filed under: uncultured bacterium
Lineage: Bacteria
Description: bacterial SSU rRNA
Rfam family: Bacterial small subunit ribosomal RNA
Source: RNAcentral